UACGAAGGGGGCUAGCGUUGCUCGGAAUCACUGGGCGUAAGGGGUGCGUAGGCGGGUCUUUAAGUCAGGGGUGAAAUCCUGGAGCUCAACUCCAGAACUGCCUUUGAUACUGAAGAUCUUGAGUUCGGGAGGGGUGAGUGGAACUGCGAGUGUAGAGGUGAAAUUCGUAGAUAUUCGCAAGAACACCAGUGGCGAAGGCGGCUCACUGGCCCGAUACUGACGCUGAGGCACGAAAGCGUGGGGAGCAAACAGG
RNAcentral lists this ribosomal RNA (253 nucleotides) under uncultured bacterium. RNAcentral describes it as "partial 16S ribosomal RNA". It matches the Rfam family "Bacterial small subunit ribosomal RNA", at positions 524 to 776 of the family's 1533-position model. The record is from RNAcentral.